RNAcentral lists this ribosomal RNA (415 nucleotides) under uncultured prokaryote. RNAcentral's name for it is "bacterial SSU rRNA". It matches the Rfam family "Bacterial small subunit ribosomal RNA", at positions 505 to 918 of the family's 1533-position model. The record is from RNAcentral.
GUGUCAGCAGCCGCGGUAAGACGAAGGUGGCGAGCGUUAUUCGGAAUCACUGGGCUUAAAGGGCGCGUAGGCGGAACGGCAAGUGUCUUGUGAAAUCCCCCGGCUUAACCGGGGAAUGGCUGGGCAAACUGCCGUUCUUGAGGCAAGCAGGGGUGCGUGGAACUCUUGGUGGAGCGGUGGAAUGCGUAGAUAUCAAGAGGAACGCCGAUGGUGAAGACAGCGCACUGGGCUUGUCCUGACGCUGAGGCGCGAAAGCGUGGGGAGCAAACAGGAUUAGAUACCCUGGUAGUCCACGCCUUAAGCUAUGCCUACUAGGUUGUGGAGGUUCUGACGCCUUCGCAGCCGAAGCAAAAGUGUUAAGUAGGCCGCCUGGGGAGUACGGUCGCAAGGCUGAAACUCAAAUGAAUUGACGGGG